This is a long non-coding RNA of Aquila chrysaetos chrysaetos, 1347 nucleotides long. RefSeq lists it as uncharacterized. NCBI's taxonomy places the organism in Eukaryota, Metazoa, Chordata, Aves, Accipitriformes, Accipitridae. The transcript is spliced from 4 exons. The record is from RefSeq and is a predicted model, not a curated record.
GGAGACUUGAAGGGAUGUGAGGUCUCCGUGGGAGAGGUGGUCCCGGAGGGAGGCUGACUUUGGAUAAAGUAUUUAUCCAACUUGAUUUUUCCUAUGUGAAAUGGGAAUACUGCUUCAGGGGAUAGCUGUUACCUCUCAAGAACUGAGAAACCCUGUGUUCAAAGUGACAAAAGCCCUGUGUUUUGCAGGUACUGUUGAUGGCAACAUUCUUCCAGGGAAGGAGCGUGUCCUGUCCCAUGGCCUGGAGUCCUGAUCCUCUUCCAGCACCGUACCUGAUCGAUGGCUCCCGGCGAGGCCCAGUGUUCCGGCAGAGCCGCGGCAGUGGACGACGACAUUCGCCUGGGUUGCCGCCGCUUUUAUAGCGUAAUGCACCAAAAUAAACCCCCGCGAGGUCCUACCUAGGUACAAAUAGAAUGUAUAUCUAAUUCAAAUCCAGCCAAUCCAGGGGUAUAAACAAAGCCCCAAGCCCGGCCUCUCGCAGAUUAAUUACUCGCACUGGUCAAUCACGUUUAACCUGCCUAAUCAGGGCGCGGGCAAGGCGCCUGGCCCUGCCUACCCCUGCCUGCACCUCGCCAAUCGCGAGCGGAACCUCCUCGCCGGCUCAACCAGUUUGUAACUGGGAUGUCGAGGACCCUGGGCUGGGCCGGGCCGGGCGUUGGGCUGCCCGGGCGCGCCGGGCUAGCGCUGUUUGGGGCUUUAUCCCAACAAAAAUCCAGCCCAAAACCGGCAAAUGUGGGGUUGGUUGGUUUUUUUUUUUUUCCCAGCUUGUCUUGAGCAGGAAGCAGUUUUUAAGCGUUGCCUUUCAAGACUGAUGCUUGUUAAAUAGGAUUUUCUUCUUUAUGAGUGAAUAUAUAUAAAGAAAUGCUCUGUAGUGUUUAAAUAAGUGUUAAAUUCCUGAAGUGCUGCCUCCAAACGCCCCUCUGGACCUGUGACUGAAAACGCAGGAUCAGACCUGCAGCAGGACAGGCCUGUGACAGUUAAGUAACAAGGAGCGUGUCUAUUGCAGGCAAACCCACUCCUCCCUUUCUGGUUUUAUUCCAAGUCUUUUCAUCUUUCAUCCAGGACUCGGGAAUUAGCUGGAGAAAUUUAUUUUACGAAGGUGUGAUUUAUGCCAGCAGAACUGUAGAAUUUUUUUUUGUUGUUAUUUAGAAAGUUGCUGUUUGAUGAUGUAAAUCAGCUCGCUUACAGCUCUUGCCUCUCUCCUUUUGCUCCGUUGAUACUAUUCUUGGUGUCCCGUGUGUGUGUGUUCUUUGUCUGGGUGAUGCAGUCCGGAGCAUGUUAAAAGUAAUUGAGAGUGGUUUAUGGGUUUGUUUAUUAAAAAAAAACCAAACAAAAAACCCCAAAACC